RNAcentral lists this ribosomal RNA (1343 nucleotides) under uncultured bacterium. RNAcentral's name for it is "16S ribosomal RNA". It matches the Rfam family "Bacterial small subunit ribosomal RNA", at positions 28 to 1378 of the family's 1533-position model. The record is from RNAcentral.
GACGAACGCUGGCGGCGUGCUUAACACAUGCAAGUCGAACGGAAAGGCCCUGCUUUUGUGGGGUGCUCGAGUGGCGAACGGGUGAGUAACACGUGAGUAACCUGCCCUUGACUUUGGGAUAACUUCAGGAAACUGGGGCUAAUACCGGAUAGGAGCUCCUGCUGCAUGGUGGGGGUUGGAGAGUUUCGGCGGUUGGGGAUGGACUCGCGGCUUAUCAGCUUGUUGGUGGGGUAGUGGCUUACCAAGGCUUUGACGGGUAGCCGGCCUGAGAGGGUGACCGGCCACAUUGGGACUGAGAUACGGCCCAGACUCCUACGGGAGGCAGCAGUGGGGAAUAUUGCACAAUGGGCGGAAGCCUGAUGCAGCAACGCCGCGUGCGGGAUGACGGCCUUCGGGUUGUAAACCGCUUUCGCCUGUGACGAAGCGUGAGUGACGGUAAUGGGUAAAGAAGCACCGGCUAACUACGUGCCAGCAGCCGCGGUGAUACGUAGGGUGCGAGCGUUGUCCGGAUUUAUUGGGCGUAAAGGGCUCGUAGGUGGUUGAUCGCGUCGGAAGUGUAAUCUUGGGGCUUAACCCUGAGCGUGCUUUCGAUACGGGUUGACUUGAGGAAGGUAGGGGAGAAUGGAAUUCCUGGUGGAGCGGUGGAAUGCGCAGAUAUCAGGAGGAACACCAGUGGCGAAGGCGGUUCUCUGGGCCUUUCCUGACGCUGAGGAGCGAAAGCGUGGGGAGCGAACAGGCUUAGAUACCCUGGUAGUCCACGCUGUAAACGGUGGGUACUAGGUGUGGGGUCCAUUCCACGGGUUCCGUGCCGUAGCUAGCGCUUUAAGUACCCCGCCUGGGGAGUACGGCCGCAAGGCUAAAACUCAAAGGAAUUGACGGGGCCCCGCACAAGCGGCGGAGCAUGCGGAUUAAUUCGAUGCAACGCGUAGAACCUUACCUGGGUUUGACAUGGAUCGGGAGUGCUCAGAGAUGGGUGUGCCUCUUUUGGGGUCGGUUCACAGGUGGUGCAUGGCUGUCGUCAGCUCGUGUCGUGAGAUGUUGGGUUAAGUCCCGCAACGAGCGCAACCCUUGUUCACUGUUGCCAGCACGUUAUGGUGGGGACUCAGUGGAGACCGCCGGGGUCAACUCGGAGGAAGGUGGGGAUGACGUCAAGUCAUCAUGCCCCUUAUGUCCAGGGCUUCACGCAUGCUACAAUGGCUGGUACAGAGAGUGGCGAGCCUGUGAGGGUGAGCGAAUCUCGGAAAGCCGGUCUCAGUUCGGAUUGGGGUCUGCAACUCGACCUCAUGAAGUCGGAGUCGCUAGUAAUCGCAGAUCAGCAACGCUGCGGUGAAUACGUUCCCGGG